This 70-nucleotide transfer RNA is filed under the name Dipodomys ordii (Ord's kangaroo rat). It matches the Rfam family "tRNA". From Rfam's summary of the family: Transfer RNA (tRNA) molecules are approximately 80 nucleotides in length. Their secondary structure includes four short double-helical elements and three loops (D, anti-codon, and T loops). Lineage: Eukaryota; Metazoa; Chordata; Mammalia; Rodentia; Heteromyidae. The record is from Rfam by way of RNAcentral.
GGGAAUGUGGCUCAGGGGUAGAGUGCUUGCCUUGCAUGCAUGAGGCCCUGGGUUCGAUUCCUCAGUACCA